AGAGUUUGAUCCUGGCUCAGGACGAACGCUGGCGGCGUGCCUAAUGCAUGCAAGUCGCACGCUGUUCCUUCGGGAAUAGAGUGGCGAACGGCUGAGGAACACGUGGGGACCUACCCUUCAGUGGGGGACAACACCGCGAAAGCGGUGCUAAUCCCGCAUACGCUCUGCGGAGGAAAGCGUGAGCAAUCACGCGCUGAAGACUGGCCCUGCGGCCCAUCAGGUAGUUGGCGGGGUAACGGCCCACCAAGCCCGUGACGGGUCGCUGGUCUGUGAGGACGACCAGCCAGACUGGGACUGAGAUACGGCCCAGACUCCUACGGGAGGCAGCAGCAAGGAAUUUUCGGCAAUGGGCGAAAGCCUGACGGAGCAAUACCGCGUGAGGGAGGAAGGUUCUUGGAUUGUAAACCUCUUUUCUCAGAGAAGAAUAAUGACGGUAUCUGAGGAAUAAGCAUCGGCUAACUCCGUGCCAGCAGCCGCGGUAAUACGGAGGAUGCAAGCGUUAUCCGGAAUGAUUGGGCGUAAAGGGUCUGUAGGUGGUUGUUCAAGUCUGCUGUUAAAGCGUCUGGCUUAACCAGAUAAAGGCGGUGGAAACUGAACGACUAGAGUGCGGUAGGGGUAGAGGGAAUUCCCAGUGUAGCGGUGAAAUGCGUAGAUAUUGGGAAGAACACCUGUGGCGAAAGCGCUCUACUGGACCGCGACUGACACUGAUGGACGAAAGCUAGGGGAGCGAAUGGGAUUAGAUACCCCCGUAGUCC
RNAcentral lists this ribosomal RNA (755 nucleotides) under uncultured cyanobacterium. Its description in RNAcentral is "bacterial SSU rRNA". It matches the Rfam family "Bacterial small subunit ribosomal RNA", at positions 8 to 796 of the family's 1533-position model. The record is from RNAcentral. Lineage: Bacteria; Bacillati; Cyanobacteriota.